AUGUGCUUCAAAGAGAAGUUGCACUCUAAUGAACGGGUCUUGGAUCAGAGCCCCCUCUGCCGAGAUCCUACAUUAAACCACUGGGGGCUACACUUAAAUAUCUCCUGCACCUGGAGAACUACUGCAACACUGGCUGAAACAUCAUUGUACUUCAGACUCCCAAGUACUAUGUCUGGCCCCUUAGAGUUCCUUUCUACAACACUAGUACAUCAUAUUCACAUGACUCAGCUCAAGGGUGAACUUGUUUUGUUCCUCUUCUCUGAGUGUCCUAGAGAAGUGAUCCAUUGUGCUCUGCCAUCCAUCUUGCUGGCCAUGUCUCCAUUUGAAGUACCUUUUUACUUUUCUUCAGCAUUUGAUGCAGGGGUAGAGUGUGUAUCAAAGACAGAGAAUAGGAAAUGGGCUGCACGAUGAACACAUCACCAAACAAGGAACAGAUGGACCCAUUGACCCACAUAGCAUAACGCAACAUGGCACGCACUGAAGUGAGAGUGGUGCCUGUAUUAUUACAUACAACGGUGUAUUCUGUAACGCCUUGAGCAAUAUUUCAAAGAGGAUAUCAUUAUGCAUACACUACAAUAAAGUGGAUUGAAAUGAACUGCAUCAUUGGUGUUGAGCAAAACCUGCAACAGAAAGUUGAGAAGUGUCGAGGUAAGUAAGACAAAUGAAUUAUAUUUUAAUGGAACAUAAAUAUAGGACUUUGAAAGGUUAAAAUCACAGUUAAAUUCACAGGUGGCACCUUAAUUGGGGAGGACGUGCGCGUGAUAACGGCUGGAGUGGAAUAGGUGGAAUGGUAUCAAAUACAUCAAACACGUGGUUACCAUGGUUACCAUGUGUUUGAUUCAUUUCCAUUCACUCUGUUAUUAUGUGCCAUUCUCCCCUCAGCAGCCCCCACUGGUUAAAAUGUUGAGAAGAAGUCAGGAGUUGGCUGGAAUACCUGUUGGGAUUGUAUUAAGGAAGAAAUUAAAUGUCUGCAUAGUCAAUAUUCACUACUUCAUCAUAAAAACUGAUUUAUUGUCAAUGUCUUUCAAAGUACACUUAAAUCAUAUUAGAGCUAAGGCUUUUUAUGGCAUGACCUGUAGAGCAUGGAAAAUGCAGCAAUGAGAGGACAAUUUAACUAAUGCACUGUCACACCCUGGUCAAAGUAUUUUGUGUUUAUCUUUAUUUAUUUGGUCAGGCCAGGGUGUGGCAUGGGUUUUUGUAUGUGGUGUGUAUGUGUGGGGAUUGUAGCUAGUGGGGUGUUCUAGCUAAGUCUAUGGCUGUCUGAAGUGGUUCUCAAUCAGAGGCAGGUGUUUAUCGUUGUCUCUGAUUGGGAACCAUAUUUAGGCAGCCAUAUUCUUUGAGUUUGUCGUGGGUGAUUGUCCUUAGUGUCCUGAUGUCAUUGUUCUGUGUUAGGAUACACAAGUAUAGGCUGUUUCGGGUUUUGUUAAGUUUAUUGUUUUGGUAGUGUUUGUGUUC
RNAcentral lists this long non-coding RNA (1455 nucleotides) under Oncorhynchus mykiss (rainbow trout). Its description in RNAcentral is "lncRNA (ENSOMYG00000055676.1)". Lineage: Eukaryota; Metazoa; Chordata; Actinopteri; Salmoniformes; Salmonidae. The record is from RNAcentral.